UAACGUUAUUUGGCAAGCUAGCUAGCUAGCUUACUUACACAUUUGUAUGCUCAAUAGUACCCGAUAUAGCACAGACUAUUUGAAAAUGAGAUUCAAAUAAACAAGUUAUAUAACAGUUUGCUAGCUACGCAAAUUCCAUUCCGUUCAUCUCCGCAUCUUUCCAUACCUACUUUCUUUACUCUACUUGUCCUUAGCUUACCUUACCGAC
Schizosaccharomyces pombe (fission yeast) is the source of this 208-nucleotide non-coding RNA. Lineage: Eukaryota; Fungi; Ascomycota; Schizosaccharomycetes; Schizosaccharomycetales; Schizosaccharomycetaceae. The record is from the annotation of a GenBank genome assembly.